AGAAUUUUCUCCUAGUGCCUGUCAUAAGAGGUAAGGCAAGAUCCAGACAUCUCUCUGUUAUCCUCAAACACUAAUCUCCUUAAUGAUAGUUCAACUUCUCUUUCUUUUCGGUUGCAUUACUUGUCAAGUAUAACAUGUCUGUACAAUGAUUAUGUUGUAUCGCUUCCGAAGAUGAAGAAAAGCCGGCACACUUAACUGAAUCAAAGCUCUUUUCUUUGAGAACUUAAAGUGAAUCAUUCUUAGUUUCAUCAAUUGAAUUUGCUUGUGAUAGAUAAACCUCGAAAUUUAGAUCUACUAGCUUUACAACAAAAGAAUGCAUCUUUUUUGUUACAGAGGAUAGCUUGAAGGAGAAGUUGGAGGAUCAACGCAAAGGUAACUAUGUCAUUACCAGUGAAAUUCUCGAAGACAUCAUGGAGGAGUCCAUAAGGCUUUUCUGGGAAUUUGUCAAGGCAGACAAGGAUGAAACGCCGGGGAUUCUGAAAGGUUUAAUGGGAACUCAUGUUCAACCUCAUGAUCCUUCUGACUCCAAGUUCAUGGCAGACAUCCAUUCCAAAUUGCACAAGGUAGAUUAUAAUCUUCAUUUUAUUUAAUUAUUGUAAGAAGAAACAACGAAGCCGCCUUCGUUCUUAAGCAGCUAAUUGCAUAAAUUUUACUAACCUUGUCAUUAGCUAAUAGGCCAUGAAUUAGUGCUUUGUUGUUGAGGUGAUGAAAACUCUCCUUUCCUUUCCAAUAAGAGUGAAAUGUUCCUAAACUCUGUCUCCAACCAAAAUGAGAAGCUUAUGUUAAGGCUCCAUAAGCCAGCUAUUCUUACCUGAACAAAGAUCAUGCAACAAAGAGUAGAUAUAAGACUGAAGCAUCCAUUUGAUCUAAUCACUGACACUGCUAUGUUUUCUUGCUGUUCAGAAAGAAAGGAAACUAAAAGACAUUUUGCGAACCGGAAAUUGCCUAGUCAAGAAGUUCAAAAAACCCAAAGAAGACAGAUCAAACCAGGAUAUCUUCUUCUCUCAAGUAGACCUGAAGCUGGUGGCACGAGUCCUCCGAAUGUCUAGAAUUACAACAGAUCAGCUGGUGUGGUGCCAUGCCAAACUGAGCAACAUCAG
RNAcentral lists this long non-coding RNA (1100 nucleotides) under Musa acuminata (dwarf banana). Its description in RNAcentral is "long non-coding RNA (MACU_LNC004089)". Lineage: Eukaryota; Viridiplantae; Streptophyta; Magnoliopsida; Zingiberales; Musaceae. The record is from RNAcentral.